This 254-nucleotide ribosomal RNA is filed under the name uncultured bacterium. Its description in RNAcentral is "partial 16S ribosomal RNA". It matches the Rfam family "Bacterial small subunit ribosomal RNA", at positions 524 to 776 of the family's 1533-position model. The record is from RNAcentral.
GACGUAGGGCGCGAGCGUUGUCCGGAUUUAUUGGGCGUAAAGAGCUCGUAGGCGGCUCAUUGCGUCAACCGUGAAAACCAGCAGCUCAACUGUUGGCUUGCGGUUGAUACGGGUGGGCUGGAGUUCGGUAGGGGAGACUGGAAUUCCUGGUGUAGCGGUGAAAUGCGCAGAUAUCAGGAGGAACACCGGUGGCGAAGGCGGGUCUCUGGGCCGAUACUGACGCUGAGUGAGCGAAAGCCAGGGGAGCAAACGGG